UACGGGGGGAGCAAGCGUUGUUCGGAUUUACUGGGCGUAAAGGGCGCGUAGGCGGCCACCGCAAGUCGGUUGUGAAAUCUCCGGGCUUAACCCGGAAAGGUCAAUCGAUACUGCGGGGCUAGAGUGCAGAAGGGGCAACUGGAAUUCUCGGUGUAGCGGUGGAAUGCGUAGAUAUCGAGAGGAACACCUGCGGCGAAGGCGGGUUGCUGGGCUGACACUGACGCUGACAGCGCGAAAGCUAGGGGAGCGAACGGG
Molecule: ribosomal RNA, 255 nt
Filed under: uncultured bacterium
Lineage: Bacteria
Description: partial 16S ribosomal RNA
Rfam family: Bacterial small subunit ribosomal RNA
Source: RNAcentral